RNAcentral lists this ribosomal RNA (500 nucleotides) under uncultured bacterium. Its description in RNAcentral is "partial 16S ribosomal RNA". It matches the Rfam family "Bacterial small subunit ribosomal RNA", at positions 28 to 507 of the family's 1533-position model. The record is from RNAcentral.
GACGAACGCUGGCGGCGUGCUUAACACAUGCAAGUCGAACGGGUCCGCCCUGUUUUUUGCGGGGUGGGUCAGUGGCGAACGGGUGAGUAACACGUGAGUAACCUGCCCCUCACUUCUGGAUAACCGCUUGAAAGGGUGGCUAAUACGGGGUGUUCUGGCUGUGCCGCAUGGUGCGGCUGGGAAAGAUUCACUUUUGUGGUGUUUUGGAGGGGGAUGGGCUUGCGGCCUAUCAGCUUGUUGGUGGGGUGAUGGCCUGCCAAGGCGUUGACGGGUAGCCGGCCUGAGAGGGUGGGCGGUCACACUGGGACUGAGAUACGGCCCAGACUCCUGCGGGAGGCAGCAGUGGGGGGUAUUGCACAAUGGGCGGAAGCCUGAUGCAGCGACGUCGCGUGAGGGAUGGAGGCCUUCGGGUUGUGAACCUCUUUCGCCGGUGAAGAAGGUCCUGCUCUUUGUGGUGGGGUUGACGGUAGCCGGGUUAUGAAGCGCCGGCUAACUACGUG